RNAcentral lists this ribosomal RNA (450 nucleotides) under uncultured bacterium. RNAcentral's name for it is "partial 16S ribosomal RNA". It matches the Rfam family "Bacterial small subunit ribosomal RNA", at positions 354 to 796 of the family's 1533-position model. The record is from RNAcentral.
GUGGGGAAUAUUGGACAAUGGGCGAAAGCCUGAUCCAGCCAUGCCGCGUGUGUGAAGAAGGUCUUCGGAUUGUAAAGCACUUUAAGUUGGGAGGAAGGGCAGUAAGUUAAUACCUUGCUGUUUUGACGUUACCGACAGAAUAAGCACCGGCUAACUUCGUGCCAGCAGCCGCGGUAAUACGAAGGGUGCAAGCGUUAAUCGGAAUUACUGGGCGUAAAGCGCGCGUAGGUGGUUUUGUAAGUUGGAGGUGAAAUCCCCGGGCUCAACCUGGGAACUGCCUCCAAAACUGCAUGACUAGAGUACGGUAGAGGGUAGUAGAAUUUCCUGUGUAGCGGUGAAAUGCGUAGAUAUAGGAAGGAACACCAGUGGCGAAGGCGACUACCUGGACUGAUACUGACACUGAGGUGCGAAAGCAUGGGGAGCAAACAGGAUUAGAAACCCUGGUAGUCC